RNAcentral lists this long non-coding RNA (718 nucleotides) under Dermacentor andersoni. RNAcentral describes it as "uncharacterized LOC126520880". The record is from RNAcentral. Lineage: Eukaryota; Metazoa; Arthropoda; Arachnida; Ixodida; Ixodidae.
UAAAUGAUUCGACGUUGUAGAUAAUCUCUGCUUACGAGGUUUUCGAUUUACGAGCAGUAUUGGGGAAAAAAAAUGUAAGCAAUCACAGCGUGCUACUGGUACAGGUUUGUUUUGAAGGGGUGUUGCCAUAACUUUGACGUAAGUAAACAUUACAAGGGAUAGUUACUUAAAGUCAUGAAAGAAACUCUAGAAUUGUUAUGUAAACAAACAUUCAUGUAAUGCGCUGCUGCUGCUGCUGCGUGUGAAAUUUUGCCUUGUUGAAGGGGUCCCUGUUAUCGUGACAUUCAUCAGUGACUUCGACUUUGUGCUCUGUUGCCACCCUGCACCAGUGCAGGCAUUGUUUUCGUGACUGUUUUUACAUGCUCCUUGCAUGUGUUCACGAUGUGAUAGUCUUAUUGUGCCACAGCUGUAAGUUAACACAGAAUUCUCUUUGUAGUGGUGCAGCCGUGACCCACAACAGUGUCCACAUAACCCGUGGCAAUGGCUGCAGCAGCACGGCGUGUAAUCUGGAUGGACAUGUCAGGGUACACGUGCACUUACUUCAAGAUGACGACACUCCACCUCAAGAACAGCCUCUCCUCAAUGAUAAGUAGCGAGAUUAAAUGAAAGGAAGAUAUCACAUCCGUAACCAGACUGAUACUGUGUUUUCCUUUCAUUUAACCUCCUUCUGCAUUUAAGGAAGCAUUGAUAUGCCCAAUAAAUGUUUUUGUUAAAUUUC